UCCACAGGGGCUGGGCUCUCAA
This 22-nucleotide unclassified non-coding RNA is filed under the name Mus musculus (house mouse). RNAcentral's name for it is "oocyte_clustered_small_RNA10505". Lineage: Eukaryota; Metazoa; Chordata; Mammalia; Rodentia; Muridae. The record is from RNAcentral.